CGGCUAACUUCGUGCCAGCAGCCGCGGUAAUACGAAGGGACCUAGCGUAGUUCGGAAUUACUGGGCUUAAAGAGUUCGUAGGUGGUUGAAAAAGUUGGUGGUGAAAUCCCAGAGCUUAACUCUGGAACUGCCAUCAAAACUUUUCAGCUAGAGUUUGAUAGAGGAAAGCAGAAUUUCUAGUGUAGAGGUGAAAUUCGUAGAUAUUAGAAAGAAUACCAAUUGCGAAGGCAGCUUUCUGGAUCAAUACUGACACUGAGGAACGAAAGCAUGGGUAGCGAAGAGGAUUAGAUACCCUCGUAGUCCAUGCCGUAAACGAUGUGUGUUAGACGUUGGAAAUUUAUUUUCAGUGUCGCAGCGAAAGCGAUAAACACACCGCCUGGGGAGUACGACCGCAAGGUUAAAACUCAAAUGAAUUGACGGGGACCCGCACAAGUAGUGGAGCAUGUGGUUUAAUUCGAAGAUACGCGCAGAACCUUACCAACACUUGACAUGUUCGUCGCGACUCUAAGAGAUUAGAGUUUUCGGUUCGGCCGGACGAAACACAGGUGCUGCAUGGCUGUCGUCAGCUCGUGUCGUGAGAUGUUGGGUUAAGUCCCGCAACGAGCGCAACCCUCACUUUUAGUUGCCAUCAUUUAGUUGGGCACUCUGAAAGAACUGCCAGUGAUAAGCUGGAGGAAGGUGGGGAUGACGUCAAGUCCUCAUGGCCCUUACGUGUUGGGCUACACACGUGCUACAAUGGUAUCUACAACAGGAAGCAAAACGGCGACGUUAAGCAAAUCCUUAAAAGAUACCUCAGUUCGGAUUGCACUCUGCAACUCGAGUGCAUGAAGCUGGAAUUACUAGUAAUCGUGGAUCAGCGUGCCACGGUGAAU
This 872-nucleotide ribosomal RNA is filed under the name marine metagenome. Its description in RNAcentral is "bacterial SSU rRNA". It matches the Rfam family "Bacterial small subunit ribosomal RNA", at positions 494 to 1367 of the family's 1533-position model. The record is from RNAcentral.